GAUUAACGCUGGCGGCGUGCCUAACACAUGCAAGUCGAACGAUGAAACUUUAAUGAACCCUUCGGGGAGAAUUAAAGCGGAUUAGUGGCGAACGGGUGAGUAACGCGUGAGUAACCUGCCUUACACAAGGGGAUAGCCUUUGGAAACGAAGAAUAAUACCCUAUAAAACCAUAAAAGCACAUGCAAUUAUGGUCAAAGUGAUAGCGGUGUAAGAUGGACUUGCGUCUGAUUAGCUAGUUGGUGAGAUAAAAGCCCACCAAGGCAACGAUCAGUAGCCGGCUUGAGAGAGUGUACGGCCACAUUGGGACUGAGACACGGCCCAGACUCCUACGGGAGGCAGCAGUGGGGAAUUUUGCACAAUGGGGGAAACCCUGAUGCAGCGACGCCGCGUGAUUUAGAAGGCCUUCGGGUUGUAAAAAUCUUUUGUAUAGGAAGAAAAUGACAGUACUAUACGAAUAAGGUCCGGCUAAUUACGUG
Molecule: ribosomal RNA, 477 nt
Filed under: uncultured bacterium
Lineage: Bacteria
Description: partial 16S ribosomal RNA
Rfam family: Bacterial small subunit ribosomal RNA
Source: RNAcentral